Molecule: ribosomal RNA, 568 nt
Filed under: uncultured bacterium
Lineage: Bacteria
Description: partial 16S ribosomal RNA
Rfam family: Bacterial small subunit ribosomal RNA
Source: RNAcentral
UGGGGAAUUUUGGACAAUGGGGGAAACCCUGAUCCAGCCAUCCCGCGUGUGCGAUGAAGGCCUUCGGGUUGUAAAGCACUUUUGGCAGGAAAGAAACGUCGCGGGUUAAUACCCCGCGAAACUGACGGUACCUGCAGAAUAAGCACCGGCUAACUACGUGCCAGCAGCCGCGGUAAUACGUAGGGUGCAAGCGUUAAUCGGAAUUACUGGGCGUAAAGCGUGCGCAGGCGGUUCGGAAAGAAAAGAUGUGAAAUCCCAGAGCUUAACUUUGGAACUGCAUUUUUAAACUACCGGGCUAGAGUGUGUCAGAGGGAGGUGGAAUUCCGCGUGUAGCAGUGAAAUGCGUAGAUAUGCGGAGGAACACCGAUGGCGAAGGCAGCCUCCUGGGAUAACACUGACGCUCAUGCACGAAAAGCGUGGGGAGCAAACAGGAUUAGAUACCCUGGUAGUCCACGCCCUAAAACGAUGUCAAACUAGCUGUUGGGGCCUUCGGGCCUUGGUAGCGCAGCUAACGCGUGAAGUUGACCGCCUGGGGGAGUACGGUCGCAAGAUUAAAAACUCAAAAUAG